RNAcentral lists this ribosomal RNA (254 nucleotides) under uncultured bacterium. RNAcentral's name for it is "partial 16S ribosomal RNA". It matches the Rfam family "Bacterial small subunit ribosomal RNA", at positions 524 to 776 of the family's 1533-position model. The record is from RNAcentral.
UACGUAGGGUGCGAGCGUUUAAUCGGAAUUACUGGGCGUAAAGCGUGCGCAGGCGGUUUUGUAAGCCAGAUGUGAAAUCCCCGGGCUUAACCUGGGAAUGGCAUUUGGGACUGCAAGGCUUGAGUGCGGCAGAGGAGACUGGAAUUCCUGGUGUAGCAGUGAAAUGCGCAGAUAUCAGGAGGAACACCGAUGGCGAAGGCAGUAUCUCGGGCCGUAACUGACGCUGAGGAGCGAAAGCAUGGGGAGCGAACAGG